This 59-nucleotide transfer RNA is filed under the name Paragonimus westermani. RNAcentral describes it as "tRNA-Ser". The record is from RNAcentral. RNAcentral also lists the same sequence under 1 other name. Lineage: Eukaryota; Metazoa; Platyhelminthes; Trematoda; Plagiorchiida; Troglotrematidae.
GAAGGUUUUGGGGUUGCCGCUGCUAACGGUGAUUGGGGUGUUUGUUCGUCCGGUCUUCU